UACGUAGGGUGCAAGCGUUGUCCGGAAUUAUUGGGCGUAAAGAGCUCGUAGGCGGUUUGUCGCGUCUGCUGUGAAAACCCGAGGCUCAACCUCGGGCCUGCAGUGGGUACGGGCAGAUUAGAGUGCGGUAGGGGAGAUUGGAAUUCCUGGUGUAGCGGUGGAAUGCGCAGAUAUCAGGAGGAACACCAAUGGCGAAGGCAGAUCUCUGGGCCGUAACUGACGCUGAGGAGCGAAAGCAUGGGGAGCGAACAGG
This 253-nucleotide ribosomal RNA is filed under the name uncultured bacterium. RNAcentral describes it as "partial 16S ribosomal RNA". It matches the Rfam family "Bacterial small subunit ribosomal RNA", at positions 524 to 776 of the family's 1533-position model. The record is from RNAcentral.